This 253-nucleotide ribosomal RNA is filed under the name uncultured bacterium. RNAcentral's name for it is "partial 16S ribosomal RNA". It matches the Rfam family "Bacterial small subunit ribosomal RNA", at positions 524 to 776 of the family's 1533-position model. The record is from RNAcentral.
UACGUAGGUGACAAGCGUUGUCCGGAUUUACUGGGCGUAAAGAGCGCGCAGGCGGUCGAUCAAGUCGAGUGUGAAAGCCCCCGGCUCAACUGGGGAGGGUCAUUCGAUACUGAUCGACUCGAAGGCAGGAGAGGGUAGUGGAAUUCCCGGUGUAGUGGUGAAAUGCGUAGAUAUCGGGAGGAACACCAGUGCCGAAGGCGACUUCCUGGCCUGUUCUUGACGCUGAGGCGCGAAAGCUAGGGUAGCAAACGGG